Molecule: ribosomal RNA, 445 nt
Filed under: uncultured bacterium
Lineage: Bacteria
Description: bacterial SSU rRNA
Rfam family: Bacterial small subunit ribosomal RNA
Source: RNAcentral
UCCAGACUCCUACGGGAGGCAGCAGUGGGGAAUAUUGCACAAUGGGGGAAACCCUGAUGCAGCAACGCCGCGUGAGUGAAGAAGUAUUUCGGUAUGUAAAGCUCUAUCAGCAGGGAAGAGAAUGACGGUACCUGACUAAGAAGCCCCGGCUAACUACGUGCCAGCAGCCGCGGUAAUACGUAGGGGGCGAGCGUUAUCCGGAUUUACUGGGUGUAAAGGGAGCGUAGACGGCUGGUCAAGUCUGAAGUGAAAGCCCGGGGCUUAACCCCGGAACGGCUUUGGAAACUGAGCAGCUAGAGUGCUGGAGAGGUAAGCGGAAUUCCUAGUGUAGCGGUGAAAUGCGUAGAUAUUAGGAGGAACACCAGUGGCGAAGGCGGCUUACUGGACAGUAACUGACGUUGAGGCUCGAAAGCGUGGGGAGCAAACAGGAUUAGAUACCCGAGUA